AACGAACGCUGGCGGCAUGCCUAACACAUGCAAGUCGAACGAGACCUUCGGGUCUAGUGGCGCACGGGUGCGUAACGCGUGGGAACCUGCCCUUAGGUUCGGAAUAACUCCCCGAAAGGGGUGCUAAUACCGGAUAAUGUCUUCGGACCAAAGAUUUAUCGCCUUUGGAUGGGCCCGCGUUGGAUUAGCUAGUUGGUAGGGUAAAAGCCUACCAAGGCCACAAUCCAUAGCUGGUCAGAGAGGAUGAUCAGCCACACUGGGACUGAGACACGGCCCAGACUCCUACGGGAGGCAGCAGUGGGGAAUAUUGGACAAUGGGCGAAAGCCUGAUCCAGCAAUGCCGCGUGAGUGAUGAAGGCCGGAGGGUUGUAAAGCUCUUUUACCCGGGAUGAUAAUGACAGUACCGGGAGAAUAAGCUCCGGCUAACUCCGUG
Molecule: ribosomal RNA, 433 nt
Filed under: uncultured bacterium
Lineage: Bacteria
Description: partial 16S ribosomal RNA
Rfam family: Bacterial small subunit ribosomal RNA
Source: RNAcentral